This is a small nucleolar RNA of Manihot esculenta (cassava), 78 nucleotides long. RefSeq annotates it as small nucleolar RNA R21. The record is from RefSeq and is a predicted model, not a curated record. Lineage: Eukaryota; Viridiplantae; Streptophyta; Magnoliopsida; Malpighiales; Euphorbiaceae. The transcript has a single exon.
CAUCCCCAUGAAGAAUGAUGUUUAUAUGUAAAAGUAGUGGGCUGAUCUCCAUUGAUGACGAACAAAUUCUGAGGGAUG